GACGAACGCUGGCGGCGUGCUUAACACAUGCAAGUCGAACGGAAAGGCCCUGCUUUUGUGGGGUGCUCGAGUGGCGAACGGGUGAGUAACACGUGAGUAACCUGCCCUUGACUUUGGGAUAACUUCAGGAAACUGGGGCUAAUACCGGAUAGGAGCUCCUGCUGCAUGGUGGGGGUUGGAAAGUUUCGGCGGUUGGGGAUGGACUCGCGGCUUAUCAGCUUGUUGGUGGGGUAGUGGCUGACCAAGGCUUUGACGGGUAGCCGGCCUGAGAGGGUGACCGGCCACCAUGGGCCUGAGGUACGGCCCAGACUCCUACGGGCGGCAGCAGUGGGGAAUAUUGCGCAAUGGGCGGAAGCCUGAUGCAGCAACGCCGCGUGCGGGAUGACGGCCUUCGGGUUGUAAACCGCUUUCGCCUGUGACGAAGCGUGAGUGACGGUAAUGGGUAAAGAAGCACCGGCUAACUACGUG
Molecule: ribosomal RNA, 468 nt
Filed under: uncultured bacterium
Lineage: Bacteria
Description: partial 16S ribosomal RNA
Rfam family: Bacterial small subunit ribosomal RNA
Source: RNAcentral